GACGAACGCUGGCGGCGUGCUUAACACAUGCAAGUCGAACGGUGAAGCGCCUUCCUUUUUGGUGGGUGUGGUUGCGUGGCGAACGGGAGAGUAACACGUGAGUACCCUGCACCCUUCUUCUGGAUAACCGCAUGAAAGUGUGGCUAAUACGGGAUAUUCUGGGUCUGUCGCAUGAUGGGUCUGGGAAAGCUAUUGUUUCGGUGGGGGAUGGGCUGCCGUCGUUUCAGCUGGUCGGGGGGGUGAGCGCCUACCAAGGCGGUGACGGGUAGACGGCCUGGGAGGGUAGACGGUCUCACUGGGAGUGAGACACGGUCCAGACUGCGACGGGGGGCAGCAGUGUGGAAGAGGGCACAAUGGGGGCAAGUGUGAUGCAGCGACGCGGCGUGAGGGAUGGAGGCCUGCGGGUUGUGAACCUCUUUCGCUAGUGAAGCGGGCCUGCCUCGUUUGUGGGUGGGUUGACGGUAGCUGGAUAAGAAGCGCCGGCUAACUACGUG
RNAcentral lists this ribosomal RNA (494 nucleotides) under uncultured bacterium. Its description in RNAcentral is "partial 16S ribosomal RNA". It matches the Rfam family "Bacterial small subunit ribosomal RNA", at positions 28 to 507 of the family's 1533-position model. The record is from RNAcentral.